UGUUCCUAUAUGUUCAUUUUCAAAUUCACGGCGCAUGUAUUUGUGCAUGGUGCUUAGAGAGGGCAUCACGUGACUAAAAACGACCAAUGACCUCACUUCGGACUUCGGCGCUUCGGCCAUCUUGGCAUGCAUCUUGGCCUUGGCCACCUUGCCGUGCGUGAUCGUUGUUUGUUUUUAUUUGUGCUUUUUAAGAAUAUUUUUUUAAUUCGGAUACUUUUAUAAUAACUUUAAUAGCAUUAUUAACAUAGUGCAUAAAAUCAGUUGGAGUAGCAGAAGCAAUGUAGAUAAAAAAUCUGCAGGAAUAACGUUUCAAAGCUUUCCAGAAGAUCCUGCGAAGAAGGCAUGAAGUAUAGAUCAGAUUUGUUAAUAGAGCAGUAUGUUCAAAACAUUUUUUAGAAAAAGAUAUUGACAGAACUUCACUUUCAACUGUUUGUUUGAGAGACUGUGCUGUUCCAAUAGCUUAUAUCACACAGAAUCAGCUGAGAGAAGUGGUCUACAAAAAACCAGGAAGGAAAUGGAAUAUGUGGCUAUGAAAGGCAAAAGAAAGGUUUAUAAAGCAAAUGUGACACAUUUUUUAUAGGAAUAUCAGUAAAUUACAUUAAAAAAAUGUAUGAAAAGAUUUUUUGCAAUAAAAAUGUUUAUAUUUA
RNAcentral lists this long non-coding RNA (647 nucleotides) under Diabrotica virgifera virgifera (western corn rootworm). Its description in RNAcentral is "uncharacterized LOC126879564". The record is from RNAcentral. Lineage: Eukaryota; Metazoa; Arthropoda; Insecta; Coleoptera; Chrysomelidae.